Molecule: ribosomal RNA, 382 nt
Filed under: Burkholderia sp. AGR57
Lineage: Bacteria; Pseudomonadati; Pseudomonadota; Betaproteobacteria; Burkholderiales; Burkholderiaceae
Description: bacterial SSU rRNA
Rfam family: Bacterial small subunit ribosomal RNA
Source: RNAcentral
CCUCGCCAUGGUCGGAAUCCCUAUAAGAGGUGGGGAGUGCUUGAAAAGAGAACCGGCUCAUCCAGUCCUGCAUGGCUGUCGUCAGCUCGUGUCGUGAGAUGUUGGUUAAGUCCCCGCAACGAGCGCAACCCUUGUCCUUAGUUGCUACGCAAGAGCACUCUAAGGAGACUGCCGGUGACAAACCGGAGGAAGGUGGGGAUGACGUCAAGUCCUCAUGGCCCUUAUGGGUAGGGCUUCACACGUCAUACAAUGGUCGGAACAGAGGGUUGCCAACCCGCGAGGGGGAGCUAAUCCCAGAAAACCGAUCGUAGUCCGGAUUGCACUCUGCAACUCGAGUGCAUGAAGCUGGAAUCGCUAGUAAUCGCGGAUCAGCAUGCCGCGG